UGGCCACACUGGUUUUGUGUUUUACUGUCGUGCUUAUACUAGCUCCUGUAAUUUUAAUUAAUUUCUGUGUAAUUACUGAUUUGUUUCUUUGUGAAAUAAUAUAUUAUUACUUUUAAAUACUCAUUAAUUCGUAUUAUUGACUAAUUUUUCUGUGUUAAUUUGUGUUUUAGUUUUAAUUAUUAAAACAAAAAUAGUGUAUUCAUUUAGUUUAAAAAGAGAAGCAAACUAGCUUAACGAAAUAAGCAAUUUUAAACCAUCCAAAAAAAAUAUCUGAACUGGAUCCCAACAUAAAAUACAACAUUUUCGCUCUACGAAAAGUUAAAACGCGUUGGGGGGAACGCAUUGUCGCAGAUCUUGGAGAGUUCACAACUUUUUUACCCCAGAGAUAUUCCCAACUCUCGGCAAGCAGCAUGACAUCAAUUGGUGGAGGUAGCUAUGUCUUAGAGAUUGUAAGACAAAUCGGAUCAACCUAUGAAUUAAAAUUUAUGAAAAUGAAAUAAUCCAUAUUGAAUCAUUAAAACAAAAAAUUAAAAAUUAUAGUUGUAA
This is a long non-coding RNA of Episyrphus balteatus (marmalade hoverfly), 546 nucleotides long. RefSeq lists it as uncharacterized. The transcript has 3 exons. Lineage: Eukaryota; Metazoa; Arthropoda; Insecta; Diptera; Syrphidae. The record is from RefSeq and is a predicted model, not a curated record.